GAAAUGCGAUAAGUAAUGUGAAUUGCAGAAUUCAGUGAAUCAUCGAAUCUUUGAACGCACAUUGCGCCCGCCAGUAUUCUGGCGGGCAUGCCUGUUCGAGCGUCAUUACAACCCUCAGGCCCCCGGGCCUGGCGUUGGGGAUCGGCGGAAGCCCCCUGCGGGCACAACGCCGUCCCCCAAAUACAGUGGCGGUCCCGCCGCAGCUUCCAUUGCGUAGUAGCUAACACCUCGCAACUGGAGAGCGGCGCGACCACGCCGUAAAACACCCAACUUCUGAAUGUUGACCUCGAAUCAGGUAGGAAUACCCGCUGAACUUAAGC
RNAcentral lists this unclassified non-coding RNA (320 nucleotides) under plant metagenome. Its description in RNAcentral is "partial contains 5.8S ribosomal RNA, internal transcribed spacer 2, and large subunit ribosomal RNA". The stretch from base 1 to 105 matches the Rfam family "5.8S ribosomal RNA", at positions 50 to 154 of the family's 154-position model. The record is from RNAcentral.